Tripterygium wilfordii is the source of this 1065-nucleotide long non-coding RNA. RefSeq lists it as uncharacterized. Lineage: Eukaryota; Viridiplantae; Streptophyta; Magnoliopsida; Celastrales; Celastraceae. The record is from RefSeq and is a predicted model, not a curated record. The transcript has 4 exons.
AUUGGGAUCUGGGAGAGAAGUAAUGGUCGUGAAGUGGAGGCGUGUCAUCCAAAGUUUAGUACAAACUGAGUCUCUCUGCAUAUAAAAGAAAUAUUUGUUUCAAGUUUCUGAUACUGUGAUACAUAUAAAGCUCUAUAUUCUUUUACUUUUCACUUUCAUGACCCCAUUCAUCAUUCUCUCUCUCACACAUAUAAGCAAUUCUACGAAGAAAAAAAAGGUGCUCGAAGCCUAAGUACCUGCUCGAUCUUAUUGGAAUUCACAAUUUUCGCGGUAAGGGUUCCGGGAUUUUUGCAUUCAUCAACACAAGCUUAUGCAGCAAUUGGAUGCAUCACGUUCAGGAUGAGUUCAAGUAUUGCAUACCGUAAUUAAGGUGAUGAUCAAGUGAAACACUUUGGAGAUUCCCAUUUUGAAAAUCCUUAUUGACAAUAAUAAUGUUAUUGUCUGGAUUAGGGUUAGAACAACAGGGAAUGGAAUUCGGUUUCGAAGAAGAAGAAGCUUUGAGGUGGUGGUGAUGAUCAGGAUUUAAUGGCUUGUGUGUUCUUGGAUCAAUUCCUUGACUUAUCAACUUCUUGCUCAGGUGCAGGUGUGUGUCCGCAAUAGGGAGAGUGGUGGUGUGUCUUCAUGUACGCAGGUUUUGAAGGGUGUAAAACGCACGCCCCCAUAUGAAGAUGUGUAUAGGAAAGUGAUUUUGACGAUCUCUUAGAGCGCGUAGAUGAGUGCGACAAGGGCCCCACAGCCGCACUCUUUAUGCGUUUGUCGUUUCGCUGUUGCAGGAUAAUCGCUGGACCAGCGGCCCAGCAGAUCGCUAUCCACGUCGUUCUAUACUGGAUUUCGAUAUGCGGACUUUCAACCUACUGAAAAAGCAUCCAGCUGUCCUUCCUUCUUCACAUGUUUGGGCCUUACGUGGGCCCAAUAGAUUCUGUUAUUUGGACUGAAGGCCGUUCCUAUGGGCUUCCAGCCAGGAGGCCCAAUACUGUAAACAUUUGAGCCUUCACGGGUAAAUUCGCAUUAACAAAAACAAGUGCAAAAUAAGUUGUGUUUUUGAGGCUGGAUUGAUUUGAUGCA